Molecule: long non-coding RNA, 1819 nt
Organism: Ursus thibetanus thibetanus
Lineage: Eukaryota; Metazoa; Chordata; Mammalia; Carnivora; Ursidae
Source: Ensembl
AUGAGCAGGCCAGCCCCUCCACAAAAAAAGAAUCAUCCAGCCCGAAACGUCAAACAUGCCCAACUUAAGAAACCCUGGCUUCGAGCAGGAUGUGGACACAGUAGAAGGGAACUGAAGUCUACCCGAUCUGAAGAUGGAGGAGGACUUACCAGUGAAGGGGAUCCUCGAGGUACUCGGGAAAGAGGAGUACACAUGAUGAGGAGAUUCUUGUCCUGUCAUUUUAUUGACAGACGCGCUAUUACAGGCUCUUUUCCCAGAAGUUGACCGAAGAAACCCAAGCGCUGCUAUUUCUUCCCUCCCAAGUCCGGUGGCUCCCCUGCUAAUGGACUGCUUUUCUCUGAGGUAUGUGUGUGUCCUUUGGGGACAGAUCUUCAUUUGCAAGUUAGCUUAUGUCGCAGCUUUUUUUGGGGGGGGGAUUUAUUUUGCUUUCCAACAUCAUCUCAAAUAUCCUUUCUCUGGCCUAAUAAUGAUACUAGGGUAUCACUGGACAGCAAUGAUUAAUUUUGGUGACUAAAAAUUACGUGCAAACAGGCAGUUCUAAUAUUUAGCUUUGUUGCACAGGGAGUAAUAUGUUGAUUUGGGCUUGAAUUUGCUUUCAGUGGAUGCUUAAUAUGUUCCAAGUAUUAAUUUCCUUAUAACAGCCUCAAGAACCUUCUUCUAAAUUUCUUCAGUGACUGCAAUUGCUCAAUUCUUUAGCUGUUCCAUCGCUUCUCAGGGACGAAAGAGAAUGACGUAACAUGUCUGAACAGCAGACAAGAGCAUUCACUGAUUUCUCCUAGGCAGCCUUUCAACCAGACGCUUUUGACCAAGAGUUUCAGAUUUUGUCCUAAAGUGUUCUGGUUCAAAAUAUCCAGAAAGGUACAUCGCAGCAAGGGCAUGGGAAAAUAAAGUCUAAAACUUUGCUGAAUAUCUUGCAUGCUUAUUUUUUUAAUACAUGUCAUGGUCCGCAUAGGAUUGAAAGCCCUUGUUGAGUUCCAUGGAAAAUUUUGAAUUCACAGCUCAUUACUCUAAUAGUUAAUCUUAUCUUUAAUGUAAGAAAGUACAAAAUUAUAUCCUACAAAAUUAAAUUGUUUUUCCCCUUACUUUUCCUCUUUCAAGUGGAUUGGAAAGUAUUGCCCCAUUUCAGAUCACAAAUUCUGGUCUUAUUGCUGCUCAAUUUUUGCUGACCUGCACCCCCACCGCAGUCCCAGGACACAUGUUGCACUGUUAAGUAGUAACAACAAUAAAGACCUGCUGACGGUCAUCUGCUAUAGAAGAACAUCAUUCGUACACUGGCUGCUGGGCUUGACACUGAUCUCGUAGGCAGUGAAUGGGUGAUAAUUUGGAAUGCAUGUUAUGCCUGAAAACAUUGGCAGAGUCUAAAUUGCGAUGAGUUUUGGAACGGUCCAUGCAAAGGAUUGUUUAUAGUGUAUUCUGCCCAUGAGGGAGGCUGUCUUUUGGAUUAGGACUGAGACUUUUCCGUGCAGUUAGAGGAAUGAGAAGCAAUAGACAGAGCGGAAAGCCUUGUAAAAAACAUUUGUAGAUCGUCAGGGUAUAUUAAACACUGUAAAGUGCUUCCUGCUUUUUAUAUCUUCCCUUUUUUUUUAUGGCUAUCGCUUUAUCUUGCUUUUUGCAAAGAGAAUGCAAACAAUCAGGGGAAAAAAUAUGAAAGUUGAUUUUCACAUGCAUCAGUGCCUCCUAGAAAAGAACCCAGAGAUGUUUCCCCAGCUCUUUACUUCUACUUACAGGGCUCACUCUGAUACAUUUACCUGAUAUGUUCUGUCUCCUCCACAGCUUCCACCCUGGAGAGAGCCCCCAGGUCUAGUCUGUGAACCCAGCU